GGUGUACCGAUGUCUCCUGGGUAUGGCGGAUGCCAAACCGCAACGCUGCCGCCUUACUACACAACAACAACAUACGCAACAACCGGUUCCUACACCACCAAGGCUCAAGAGUGUUACAAUUCAUGAUGCCCCGAGUUGCUACCCCGAACCCCGAGUUGCAUCACCAGAGGCGGAGUACUACACCGAGGCUCCUAAGUACUACAACCGCAAUACUACACGUCUAUGUAUGCUGCCCCUGCCUACUACACCGAGGCCCCGCAUUACUACGACACCGAAGCGCUCAAGUACUACACUACAACCUACGCUGCCCCGAGCUACUACACCUACGUACCGAAGAAUUACUGUGCGUAAAAGGAGUCGUUGAAAAAAGAAGUCGUGCCCAAACUGCAGUGCCUUAUCUGUCGCCAACAGGAUUCCUCAUCGUGUAACCGAUUCUCAAUUAUGGUCAACUAUGGCGUCGUGCUCCUGUUGGUUGUUGUAUCGUUGAUGGCUGGAUCGACCACUGAUGUACCAAUGUCUCCGCAAACAAAACCGCAACGCCGCACCUACCUCCACCUCCUAACUUACGCAACGAGGUUCCUGCACCGAAGUCUUCAAGUACUACACCACUAAAGCACCGGAGUUUUAUACCACAACUUACGCUGCCCCGAGUCACUACACUGACGCCCUGAAGUAUUACUCUGCCCCGAGUUACUACACCAUCAAGGCGACGGAGUACUACAUGACAACGCAUGCUGUCCCAUCCGACUACACCGAGGCUCCCAACUGCUACCCGAGGUUCCCGCUGAUUACUUCGCCAAAACGGUCGAGUACUACACCGAAGCGGGAAAGUCCUUCUGUGCCCCGAUCUACACAACAACAACUGAGGCGACCAAGAAUUACGCAGUCCCGACUUGACACACAAAAGCUGCUCUUUCGUGUUAAAUUGAACUGAAACACUACACUGAUGCUCCAGUCUACUACACCACGACCUACGCUACACCUAGCUACAACACCGCAGCUCCCAAGUAGUACACCGAAGAAGCUGCCUAUUGCACAACUACGUACGCUGCCUAGUUUACUACACCGAGGAAUUCAAUUAUAACCCUGUCUGGGCUUUCUUCGUUGCCUUCCAAAUUUUAUUCUUCACAUGGAGAACUUAAGAAUAAUUUAAGUAAUUAUGUUGGUCAAGUUGUAACUAUCAGGCUACAGAAAUAGUUAAUUGAUGACUGAGUUAUUACUUUGCUUCUCAAUUGUAGAAAUUUCGAUUUAGUGUACAAUGGACAUGCGGUUUUGGUGCCGGUCGAUAUGUCAAUCCCUAUUCCAUUAAUCACUGUUAUUGAAAGGUUUGGAUGUCAAGUGUCAACUCAGUGGAUGAAUUCUAUACAAAGACAAUUAUCACUCCUGAAGUUGUAGCAGUGGAAGGAGUGGUGUUGGUACUAGAACAUUUUUAUGGCAAAAAGAGGGUUUUGCAGAAUGUUUUAUCAAAACCUUUGUUUUUGUUUGACUGUGUAGUUUGACUGUUAUUUUUUUCUUGGAUUAAGUCCGUCUCCUUGCCUGUGCAUGUGGUAAAGAAUCCAUUCAAUAAUUCAACUAAAUAUCGAAAUUUUUCGAUAUUUUCCUGCUGGUCAUGAGGAUUGGAUUUGUGCCUUAGCCUAUAUUGUGAAGUUAUGAUUUGUCCCCCAUCUUUUGGAUGUUUCGGGAUCCUUCUGGAGCAGAAUAGAAAGUUGUCCGAGUUUUCGAAGUUCCUCACUAUUUUCUAUGGAAUUUGGUUUAAAUUUGUCGUAUUGAUCAACCAAUGACAUAACGUAAUAUUGUGUUUUUUUUAAUCAACCUUCCCGCUUGUAUUCAUAAUUUUCGCAUUUUUUCGACGGUACUCGAUGGUAAUGGCAUGCAUCAGUCUGCUGCGAGUAGUCUAUGGAUCUGGUGUUAUGCUGAAAUGUAGAAUCAUGACUUGAAGUGGAAUAACUGCAAGAAGACUUCUUGAAAUGGUAAUUGGAUAAUCCAAUUUGGAUUGAAAUUAUGUUGAAUAAUAUCCUCAAAAGAUAGGUAUAGAUGGUUGGUAUAGUAGUUGAAGUCUAGGAAAAAUUAUAAUCUACUUGAUUUUAUUUAUAUUGAUUUUAGUAAUUGCUAAUUGGAAAACUUUGGUUUACUAUAGACUUAAAUUUCUUGUAUCAAAAUAAUUUUUAAGAGCUGUUGCUUAAUUCAAUUAACUCCUGUCAUUUAAA
Molecule: long non-coding RNA, 2207 nt
Organism: Daphnia pulicaria
Lineage: Eukaryota; Metazoa; Arthropoda; Branchiopoda; Diplostraca; Daphniidae
Exons: 6
Source: RefSeq, a predicted model, not a curated record